Molecule: ribosomal RNA, 490 nt
Filed under: uncultured bacterium
Lineage: Bacteria
Description: partial 16S ribosomal RNA
Rfam family: Bacterial small subunit ribosomal RNA
Source: RNAcentral
AGUGAACGCUGGCGGCAGGCCUAACACAUGCAAGUCGAACAGCAGCACAAGAGAGCUUGCUCUCUGGGUGGCGAGUGGCGGACGGGUGAGGAAUGCAUCGGAAUCUGCCCAUUUGUGGGGGAUAACCUCGGGAAACCGGGACUAAUACCGCAUACGACCUACGGGUGAAAGCAGGGGAUCUUCGGACCUUGCGCAGAUGGAUGAGCCGAUGCCGGAUUAGCUAGUUGGAGGGGUAAAGGCCCACCAAGGCGACGAUCCGUAGCUGGUCUGAGAGGAUGAUCAGCCACACUGGGACUGAGACACGGCCCAGACUCCUACGGGAGGCAGCAGUGGGGAAUAUUGGACAAUGGGCGCAAGCCUGAUCCAGCCAUGCCGCGUGUGUGAAGAAGGCCUUCGGGUUGUAAAGCACUUUUGUUGGGAAAGAAAAGCAGCCGGUUAAUACCCGGUUGUCAUGACGGUACCCAAAGAAUAAGCACCGGCUAACUUCGUG